GGUCAAAUCACAGACAAUAUCUGUCACCCGUCUUGCUAAAGAGUCUUCAGACUAAAAGCCCCACGACACUGGCUCUUCUCCAGAGGACAUGAUGUCCAGUUUCCUUCCAGCAGCCGCCACCGCCACCCUCAACAUUUCUCAGUUUGGUAACGUCUGACUUGCACUGUGUGCUAUUUUUAAACGCAGUAGCAAGUCUGGCAUGCGCCUCCUGCCCCAUUCCAUUUCAUCCAGUUUCUGCCAAUUACAUGAGGAUUCAAAAAAAUUUAACACGUACUUACAUAAAGCACGCCUUAGGUGCCAGACUCUGAGCCUUUCACAAGUAUUAAAUCACUUAUCUUCAUAACAACCCCAUGAAGUAGGUGCUAAUAUUACCAACAUUUUACAGAGGCAGAGACUGACAAAUGAGCGAAGUAACGCGCCCAGAUCCCUUGGCAGCCAGGACUGAAAUUUAACUGAGCGUGCCUGCUCGGGACCACAUUCUCUCCCCUCCUCCUCUCUCUCUCUCUUUGUCUUUUUAGGGCCACAACGCAGGAGUACGGAAGUUCCCAGACUAGGGGUCAAAUCCGAGCCACAGCUGCCGGCCACAGCCACAGCCACGCCAGAUCCAAGCUGUGCCUGUGACCUACACCACAGCUCACAGCAAUGCCGGAUCCUUAACCCGCUCAAGGAGACCAGGGAUCGAACCUGCGUCCUCACGGAUACUACUCGGGUUUGUUCCCACUGAGCCCCAGUGGGAACUCCAGGACUAUAUUCUCUCAACAAUGGCACCCAGCUGUCUCAGGGAGCUGUCUGAGUCCUGAUUCUGCCACUCUGUGUGGGCACCACCCUUCCCACCUGUGUGUGACCUACAGAGCUGACAGGCAGGCCUUUGUGCGUGCCGCCACGAUGGAAAGAAACGUUGAGAAGGAUGAGACCAGCGCAGGCUGUUUUUACAAAAACAUAUCUGAAGCAAAGCCACGAGGACCCAACCAACAGCCCAGCAGGGAGAAGGCUCCCUUCUUCUGCAAGCCCGCAGGGACCCCCACGUCCUAGAGAGAACUGCACCGAGCCGAAUUUCUCAUCUUGCUCACCUCCUGAGGGGAGAUGGGAAGGGACCCACGUUGAGAGACACAUCACAGCCUAGAUGUCUACUGGGGCACCAUCCCCAUGAGGCCAGACGCACGUUAGCUGCUGGAGGAUUCCUGCUCUGCCUGACUCAGAGUGCUCCCCGCUUGGCUUGGUCAGUGUCCGAGGCACCUGGGAAGAGGCCAGGGCUGUGGGGGGAGGGGGAACACUGGGGCACUGGGAGCCACAGCUCUUAGCAACAAUCCAGAGGUGUUCAGUCAUUGAAACUGCUCUGGUACAGACCCCCGAGCAUCACCAUCGACCACUCCUGGUGUCAACAAAACAUUCACCUUUGAGACUUGCUGGCUCCAGGCAUGACAAGAAAGAUUUUGUUAUCUCUAUUUUGUAAAAGAACGGGCCCAUUCAAGUAGGCAAGCCUUGACACUGUGCUCACUCCUUACGCAUUUUCCUACCCAAUACCAUAGUUUAAAAUUUUUAUAUUAUUUUCUUUGAAGUUUUAUUAAUUAUAGUUGAUUUACAAUGUUGUGAUAUCUGUUGCUGAACAACAAAGCGAUUCAGUUAUACAUAUACCCAUAUCCAUUUUUUUUCCGAUUCUUCUCCCAUAUAGUUUAUUACAGAAUAUUGGACGGAGUUCUCUCAAUGUUUUUUUUUAAGUGGAAGUGUAGUUAAUUGGCAAUGCUGUGUUAAUUUCAAGUGUGCAGUUUAAAUAUUUUAAAGAAUGAUGACACAAAAGAAAUUAUUUCUGAAUGUGUUUCAAAGAUCUUAAAGUUCUCGUUUACCUACAAAGAUACAUUUAACUUUUCUAAGAAGUAAUGCCUCUGGUCAUGACUUAAUGCACAGAAAAUUUAGUCAUAUUUACUAACUUAGAAAUUACUAAAUUGGCUAAUAGUUAAUUACUGUAAUCAACCAACUAGACAUCGACCAACCUACCAUUAACCUUAUUGCUUUUGGCUGAACAUUUUUAAAACAUUAAUAUUAGGGAAUUCCCAUUGUGGCUCAGCAGUAACAAACCCAACUAGUAUCCAUGAGGACAUGGGUCUGAUCCCUGGCCUCGCUCAGUGAGUUAAGGAUCCAGCAUUGCUGUGAGCUGCGGUGUAGGUCGCAGACGUGGCUCAGAUCCCCAGUUGCUGUGGCUGUGGCAUAGGCCAGCAGCUGUAGCUCCAAUUCGACCCCUAGCCUGGGAACUUUUUAGGGUGUGGCCCUACAAAGACAUAAAUAAAUAAAUAAAUAUUCAUCCUAGGCUAUUAAUU
This 2315-nucleotide long non-coding RNA is filed under the name Sus scrofa (pig). RNAcentral describes it as "lncRNA (ENSSSCG00050061704.1)". The record is from RNAcentral. Lineage: Eukaryota; Metazoa; Chordata; Mammalia; Artiodactyla; Suidae.